CAAGUACGUAGGCGGGUGGUUUAGGUAAAUCCGGACCGCUACUAACGCUGAGAUACGAUGUCGAGCUACUACGGUAGUGAAGUCAUUGAUGCCAUGCUUCCAGGAAAAGCCUCUAAGCUUCAGAUUGUAAGGAAUCGUACCCCAAACCGACACAGGUGGUCGGGUAGAGAAUACCAAGGCGCUUGAGAGAACUCGGGUGAAGGAACUAGGCAAAAUGGUACCGUAACUUCGGGAGAAGGUACGCUCUUAUCAGUGAAGUCCCUUGCGGAUGGAGCAGACGAGAGUCGCAGAUACCAGGUGGCUGCAACUGUUUAUUAAAAACACAGCACUGUGCAAAAUCGUAAGAUGACGUAUACGGUGUGACGCCUGCCCGGUGCCGGAAGGUUAAUUGAUGGGGUUAGACUUCGGUCGAAGCUCUUGAUCGAAGCCCCGGUAAACGGCGGCCGUAACUAUAACGGUCCUAAGGUAGCGAAAUUCCUUGUCGGGUAAGUUCCGACCUGCACGAAUGGCGUAAUGAUGGCCACGCUGUCUCCACCCGAGACUCAGUGAAAUUGAAAUCGCUGUGAAGAUGCAGUGUACCCGCGGCUAGACGGAAAGACCCCGUGAACCUUUACUACAGCUUGGCACUGAACAUUGAACCUACAUGUGUAGGAUAGGUGGGAGACUUUGAAACCGCGUCGCUAGAUGUGGUGGAGUCGUCCUUGAAAUACCACCCUUGUAGUUUUGAUGUUCUAACGUUGGCCCCUGAAUCGGGGUUACGGACAGUGCCUGGUGGGUAGUUUGACUGGGGCGGUCUCCUCCCAAAGAGUAACGGAGGAGCACGAAGGUGGGCUAAACACGGUUGGACAUCGUGUGGUUAGUGCAAUGGCAUAAGCCCGCUUGACUGCGAGAAUGACAAUUCGAGCAGGUGCGAAAGCAGGUCAUAGUGAUCCGGUGGUUCUGAAUGGAAGGGCCAUCGCUCAACGGAUAAAAGGUACUCCGGGGAUAACAGGCUGAUACCGCCCAAGAGUUCAUAUCGACGGCGGUGUUUGGCACCUCGAUGUCGGCUCAUCACAUCCUGGGGCUGAAGUCGGUCCCAAGGGUAUGGCUGUUCGCCAUUUAAAGUGGUACGCGAGCUGGGUUUAGAACGUCGUGAGACAGUUCGGUCCCUAUCUGCCGUGGGCGUUGGAAAAUUGAAAGGGGCUGCUCCUAGUACGAGAGGACCGGAGUGGACGAACCUCUGGUGUUCGGGUUGUCAUGCCAAUGGCAUUGCCCGGUAGCUAAGUUCGGAAUCGAUAACCGCUGAAAGCAUCUAAGCGGGAAGCGAGCCUUGAGAUGAGUUUUCCCUGACGCUAUAAGCGUCCUAAAGGGUUGUCGUAGACUACGACGUUGAUAGGCAGGGUGUGUAAGUGCUGCGAGGCAUUGAGCUAACCUGUACUAAUUGCCCGUGAGGCUUAACCAUACAACACCCAAGGGGUUU
RNAcentral lists this ribosomal RNA (1459 nucleotides) under Vibrio sp. 10N.286.45.A3. RNAcentral describes it as "bacterial LSU rRNA". It matches the Rfam family "Bacterial large subunit ribosomal RNA", at positions 1513 to 2925 of the family's 2925-position model. The record is from RNAcentral. Lineage: Bacteria; Pseudomonadati; Pseudomonadota; Gammaproteobacteria; Vibrionales; Vibrionaceae.